UCUGGUCCUGAUUGGACCUACUUGCCAGGCUCCAGACUUGUUGGAUGGCAAAAUCUUCCUCCUCAUUGGAGACACUUGGCUGUUGGAGUUCAGAACUUUGUCUCUGCAGCUCCGAACCGACUACGUGUAGCUUUAUUUCUGGUUUCCAGUCGAUCCC
Poecilia latipinna (sailfin molly) is the source of this 157-nucleotide long non-coding RNA. RefSeq lists it as uncharacterized. Lineage: Eukaryota; Metazoa; Chordata; Actinopteri; Cyprinodontiformes; Poeciliidae. The record is from RefSeq and is a predicted model, not a curated record. The transcript has 3 exons.